ACGAACGCUGGCGGCGUGCUUAACACAUGCAAGUCGAACGGUGAAGCGCCUUCCUUUUUGGUGGGUGUGGAUGAGUGGCGAACGGGUGAGUAACACGUGAGUAACCUGCCCCCUUCUUCUGGAUAACCGCAUGAAAGUGUGGCUAAUACGGGAUAUUCUGGGUCUGUCGCAUGAUGGGUCUGGGAAAGAUAUUGUUUCGGUGGGGGAUGGGCUCGCGGCCUAUCAGCUUGUUGGUGGGGUGAUGGCCUACCAAGGCGGGGACGGGUAGCCGGCCUGAGAGGGUGGACUGUCACACUGGGACUGAGACACGGCCCAGACUCCUACGGGAGGCAGCAGUGGGGAAUAUUGCACAAUGGGCGCAAGCCUGAUGCAGCGACGCCGCGUGCGGGAUGGAGGCCUUCGGGUUGUGAACCUCUUUCGCCAGUGAAGCAGGCCUGCCUCGUUUGUGGGUGGGUUGACGGUAGCUGGAUAAGAAGCGCCGGCUAACUACGUG
This 493-nucleotide ribosomal RNA is filed under the name uncultured bacterium. Its description in RNAcentral is "partial 16S ribosomal RNA". It matches the Rfam family "Bacterial small subunit ribosomal RNA", at positions 29 to 507 of the family's 1533-position model. The record is from RNAcentral.